ACGGGAGGCAGCAGUGAGGAAUAUUGGUCAAUGGGCGGAAGCCUGAACCAGCCAAGUCGCGUGAAGGAUGAAGGUUCUAUGGAUUGUAAACUUCUUUUGUUCGAGGGUAAAGUGAGGGUCGUGACCCUUAUUGCAAGUAUCGAACGAAUAAGCAUCGGCUAACUCCGUGCCAGCAGCCGCGGUAAUACGGAGGAUGCGAGCGUUAUCCGGAUUUAUUGGGUUUAAAGGGAGCGUAGGCGGCCUUUUAAGUCAGCGGUCAAAUGUCAGCGCCCAACGCUGGCCUGCCGUUGAUACUGAUGGGCUUGAAUACACACAAGGAAGGUGGAAUUCGUCGUGUAGCGGUGAAAUGCUUAGAUAUGACGAAGAACUCCGAUUGCGAAGGCAGCCUUCUGGAGUGCGAUUGACGCUGAGGCUCGAAAGCGCGGGUAUCAAACAGGAUUAGAUACCCUGGUA
This 453-nucleotide ribosomal RNA is filed under the name uncultured Paraprevotella sp. Its description in RNAcentral is "partial 16S ribosomal RNA". It matches the Rfam family "Bacterial small subunit ribosomal RNA", at positions 341 to 792 of the family's 1533-position model. Lineage: Bacteria; Pseudomonadati; Bacteroidota; Bacteroidia; Bacteroidales; Prevotellaceae. The record is from RNAcentral.